RNAcentral lists this ribosomal RNA (169 nucleotides) under Malacanthus brevirostris (quakerfish). RNAcentral describes it as "partial small subunit ribosomal RNA". Lineage: Eukaryota; Metazoa; Chordata; Actinopteri; Malacanthidae. The record is from RNAcentral.
CACCGCGGUUAUACGAGGAACCCUAGUUGUUAGAACACGGCGUAAAGCGUGGUUAAGAUGCCCAACGAACUAAAGCCGAACACUUACAAAGCUGUCAUACGCAUCCGAAAGUGAGAAGCCCAUCAACGAAAGUGGCUUUAUACCAUUUGAACCCACGUAAGCUAAGACA